AUUGAACGCUGGCGGCAUGCUUUACACGUGCAAGUCGAACGGCAGCGCGGGCUUCGGCCUGGCGGCGAGUGGCGAACGGGUGAGUAAUACAUCGGAACGUGCCCAGUAGUGGGGGAUAGCUCGGCGAAAGCCGGAUUAAUACCGCAUACGACCUGAGGGUGAAAGCGGGGGAUCUUCGGACCUCGCGCUAUUUGAGCGGCCGAUGGCAGAUUAGCUAGUUGGUGGGGUAAAGGCCUACCAAGGCGACGAUCUGUAGCUGGUCUGAGAGGACGACCAGCCACACUGGGACUGAGACACGGCCCAGACUCCUACGGGAGGCAGCAGUGGGGAAUUUUGGACAAGGGGCGAAAGCCUGAUCCAGCAAUGCCGCGUGUGUGAUGAAGGCCUUCGGGUUGUAAAGCACUUUUGGCGGGAACGAAAAGGACUGUGCCAAUACCACGGUUCGAUGACGGUACCCGCAGAAUAAGCACCGGCUAACUACGUG
This 484-nucleotide ribosomal RNA is filed under the name uncultured bacterium. Its description in RNAcentral is "partial 16S ribosomal RNA". It matches the Rfam family "Bacterial small subunit ribosomal RNA", at positions 29 to 507 of the family's 1533-position model. The record is from RNAcentral.